RNAcentral lists this ribosomal RNA (403 nucleotides) under uncultured bacterium. Its description in RNAcentral is "partial 16S ribosomal RNA". It matches the Rfam family "Bacterial small subunit ribosomal RNA", at positions 30 to 526 of the family's 1533-position model. The record is from RNAcentral.
AUUGAACGCUGGCGGCAGGCCUAACACAUGCAAGUCGAGCGAGCGGCGGACGGGUGAGUAAUGUAUGGGGACUGCCCGUUAGGGGGGGAUAACUACUGGAAAAGGUGUAUAAUACCGCGUACUGUAGGAUAACCCAUAUGGGAUUAGCUAGUGGGUAAGGUAAUGGCUUACCUAGGCGACGAUCCCUAGCUGGUCUGAGAGGAUGAUCAGCCACACUGGGACUGAGACACGGCCCAGACUCCUACGGAGGCAGCAGUGGGGAAUAUUGCACAAUGGGCGAAAGCCUGAUACAGCCAUGCCGCGUGUAUGAAGAAGGCCUUAGGGUUGUAAAGUACUUUCAGUCGGGAGGCGUUACCGACAGAAGAAGCACCGGCUAACUCCGUGCCAGCAGCCGCGGUAAUUC